RNAcentral lists this ribosomal RNA (253 nucleotides) under uncultured bacterium. RNAcentral describes it as "partial 16S ribosomal RNA". It matches the Rfam family "Bacterial small subunit ribosomal RNA", at positions 524 to 776 of the family's 1533-position model. The record is from RNAcentral.
UACGUAGGGACCGAGCGUUGUCCGGAAUCAUUGGGCGUAAAGAGCGUGUAGGCGGCCUUUUAAGUCCUGCGUGAAAUCCUGCGGCUCAACCGCAGACGGUCGUGGGAAACUGGAGGGCUAGAGUGCGGGAGAGGAGAGUGGAAUUCCCAGUGUAGCGGUGAAAUGCGCAGAUAUUGGGAAGAACACCCGUGGCGAAGGCGGCUCACUGGCCCGGUACUGACGCUGAGGUGCGAAAGCGUGGGGAGCAAACAGG